UCCCGGUGACUAGUAUAUUGCAUGGUACAC
Molecule: non-coding RNA, 30 nt
Filed under: Homo sapiens (human)
Lineage: Eukaryota; Metazoa; Chordata; Mammalia; Primates; Hominidae
Source: RNAcentral